UAUUCUUUGCCACCGGGUAAAGAUUUAAGGUGUUCUGAGGUAUUCCGUUAGGUCUUAGAAGGAAUACUUUCGGGACACCUUUUUGUG
Molecule: non-coding RNA, 87 nt
Filed under: unclassified sequences
Source: RNAcentral